AGAGUUUGAUCCUGGCUCAGAUUGAACGCUGGCGGAAUGCUUUACACAUGCAAGUCGAACGGCAGCACGGGAGCUUGCUCCUGGUGGCGAGUGGCGAACGGGUGAGUAAUGCGUCGGAACGUACCGAGUAAUGGGGGAUAACGCAGCGAAAGCUGUGCUAAUACCGCAUACGCCCUGAGGGGGAAAGUGGGGGAUCGCAAGACCUCACGUUAUUCGAGCGGCCGACGUCUGAUUAGCUAGUUGGUGGGGUAAAGGCUCACCAAGGCGACGAUCAGUAGCGGGUCUGAGAGGACGACCAGCCACACUGGAACUGAGACACGGUCCAGACUCCUACGGGAGGCAGCAGUGGGGAAUUUUGGACAAUGGGCGCAAGCCUGAUCCAGCCAUUCCGCGUGAGUGAAGAAGGCCUUCGGGUUGUAAAGCUCUUUCAGCUGGAACGAAACGGUACGCUCUAACAUAGCGUGCUAAUGACGGUACCAGCAGAAGAAGGACCGGCUAACUCCGUGCCAGCAGCCGCGGUAAUACGGAGGGUCCGAGCGUUAAUCGGAAUUACUGGGCGUAAAGCGUGCGCAGGCGGAUUGUUAAGCAAGAUGUGAAAUCCCCGGGCUUAACCUGGGAAUGGCAUUUUGAACUGGCAGUCUAGAGUGUGUCAGAGGGGGGUGGAAUUCCACGUGUAGCAGUGAAAUGCGUAGAGAUGUGGAGGAAUACCGAUGGCGAAGGCAGCCCCCUGGGCUAACACUGACGCUCAUGCACGAAAGCGUGGGGAGCAAACAGGAUUAGAUACCCUGGUAGUCCACGCCCUAAACGAUGUCAACUAGUUGUUGGGGGAGUGAAAUCCCUUAGUAACGAAGCUAACGCGUGAAGUUGACCGCCUGGGGAGUACGGCCGCAAGGUUAAAACUCAAAGGAAUUGACGGGGGCCCGCACAAGCGGUGGAUUAUGUGGUUUAAUUCGAUGCAACGCGAAAAACCUUACCUGGUCUUGACAUCCCGGGAAUCUUUAGGAAACUAGAGAGUGCCUUCCAGGAGCCCGGAGACAGGUGCUGCAUGGUUGUCGUCAGCUCGUGCCGUGAGGUGUCGGGUUAAGUCCCAUAACGAGCGCAACCCUUAUCGUUAGUUGCCAGCGGGUUAAGCCGGGGACUCUAGCGAGACUGCCACCGUAAGGUGAGAGGAAGGUGGGGAUGACGUCAAGUCCUCAUGGCCCUUAUGUCCAGGGCUACACACGUGUUACAAUGGCCGAUACAAAGGGCAGCUACUCCGCGAGGAGAUGCUAAUCUCUAAAGUCGGUCCCAGUUCGGAUUGGAGUCUGCAACCCGACUCCAUGAAGUUGGAUUCGCUAGUAAUCGCGCAUCAGCCAUGGCGCGGUGAAUACGUUCCCGGGCCUUGUACACACCGCCCGUCAAACCAUGGGAGCUGGGGGUGCCUGAAGUCUGCCACCGCAAGGAGCGGCCUAGGGUAAAACCAGUGACUGGGGUUAAGUCGUAACAAGGUAACCU
RNAcentral lists this ribosomal RNA (1494 nucleotides) under uncultured bacterium. RNAcentral describes it as "bacterial SSU rRNA". It matches the Rfam family "Bacterial small subunit ribosomal RNA". The record is from RNAcentral.